This 107-nucleotide small nuclear RNA is filed under the name Myotis davidii. Lineage: Eukaryota; Metazoa; Chordata; Mammalia; Chiroptera; Vespertilionidae. The record is from RNAcentral.
GUGCUUGCUUCGGCAGCACAUAUACUAAAAUUGGAAUGAUACAGAGAAGAUUAGCAUGGCCCCUGCGCAAGGAUGACAUGCUAAUUAGUGAAGCUGAAGCGUUCCAU